RNAcentral lists this ribosomal RNA (450 nucleotides) under uncultured bacterium. RNAcentral's name for it is "partial 16S ribosomal RNA". It matches the Rfam family "Bacterial small subunit ribosomal RNA", at positions 338 to 795 of the family's 1533-position model. The record is from RNAcentral.
CCUACGGGAGGCUGCAGUAAGGAAUAUUGGUCAAUGGGCGCAAGCCUGAACCAGCCAUGCCGCGUGAAGGAUGACGGCCCUAUGGGUUGUAAACUUCUUUUGUACGGGAAAAAACCACCGGUCGUGAAUCGGUGCUGAUGGUACCGUAAGAAUAAGCAUCGGCUAACUCCGUGCCAGCAGCCGCGGUAAUACGGAGGAUGCAAGCGUUAUGCGGUUACAGGGGGCGUAGAGGGUGCACAAAGUCAGUGGUGAAAGCCUACAGCUUAACUGUAGAACUGCCAUUGAUACUGUUAGUCUUGAGUGUUGUUGAGGUAGGCGGAAUGUGUCAUGUAGCGGUGAAAUGCUUAGAUAUGACACAGAACACCGAUCGCGAAGGCAGCUUACCAAGCAACAACUGACGCUCAUGCACGAAAGCGUGGGGAUCAAACAGGAUUAGAUACCCUUGUAGUC